RNAcentral lists this ribosomal RNA (253 nucleotides) under uncultured bacterium. RNAcentral describes it as "partial 16S ribosomal RNA". It matches the Rfam family "Bacterial small subunit ribosomal RNA", at positions 524 to 776 of the family's 1533-position model. The record is from RNAcentral.
UACGGGGGGGGCAAGCGUUGUUCGGAAUUACUGGGCGUAAAGGGUGCGUAGGUGGCGGGGUUAGUCAGGUGUGAAAUCUCGGAGCUCAACUCCGAAACUGCACUUGAUACUGCCUUGCUAGAGUACUGGAGAGGAGAUUGGAAUUUACGGUGUAGCAGUGAAAUGCGUAGAUAUCGUAAGGAAGACCAGUGGCGAAGGCGAAUCUCUGGACAGUUACUGACACUGAGGCACGAAGGCCAGGGGAGCAAACGGG